UACGGGGGGGGCAAGCGUUGUUCGGAAUUACUGGGCGUAAAGGGCUCGUAGGCGGCCAACCAAGUCAGACGUGAAAUCCCUCGGCUUAACCGGGGAACUGCGUCUGAUACUGGAUGGCUUGAGGUUGGGAGAGGGAUGCGGAAUUCCAGGUGUAGCGGUGAAAUGCGUAGAUAUCUGGAGGAACACCGGUGGCGAAGGCGGCAUCCUGGACCAAUUCUGACGCUGAGGAGCGAAAGCCAGGGGAGCAAACGGG
Molecule: ribosomal RNA, 253 nt
Filed under: uncultured bacterium
Lineage: Bacteria
Description: partial 16S ribosomal RNA
Rfam family: Bacterial small subunit ribosomal RNA
Source: RNAcentral